Long non-coding RNA from Marmota flaviventris (yellow-bellied marmot), 1947 nucleotides. RefSeq lists it as uncharacterized. The record is from RefSeq and is a predicted model, not a curated record. Lineage: Eukaryota; Metazoa; Chordata; Mammalia; Rodentia; Sciuridae.
UGCAGUCCGUGUGCUUGCUCCAUGGCCCACUCCUCAAUUGGUUGCUGCAGGGACAGUUGGCCAGCAAUUGUAUUGGUGGCUGCUUGUAAUCUUCUUAGCUACUGCCUGAGUAACAUGGUAGCUGUGUUAGACCUGCUUCCUGCUUGGUCUUGGCUCACUGGUAUCAGCAUUAAACCCAAUCUUAGACAGAUAUUCUCAGAAGAAACAAAGACUCUGAGACUCCACGACUCCGCGACUCCACGACUCUGCAGCCACAAUCUCCUCUACUCUGUUCCAUGGACCUCCUUGCUGGAUGAGAGAACCCACGCCGCUGGCACCUGAGCAAGGGUCUGAGGACAUUCGGCUCCUCUGCAGGCACUUCCACGGUGGUUCCAGACUAGUGCGGUCCUGAGCUCCCCACACACCUCAUUUGUUUGGACUUGCGUUGGCUGAGCCCGUGCCUUCUAAUGUGUGUGUGAACCCUGUGUAGAGCUGCAGUCGCUGGGGCAUUCCACCACACUCGGAUUAACACUUCCAACAUGAUUGUUCUCAGGACUCUCUAGACACCAAUUGGGCAUCCUGCAACUCAACUCUGGAAAUUUAUGCAGACCCUGUGGAUGGGUCCUUCUGUCACCUGCAUAUCAUCUGACAUGGCUGCAAACCCAGGGUUCCAUAGCCCACGUCGGUUCCACGCUCGCUGGAAUGGUUCACAGAAUUCAGGGGAGUGCUGGACUUGCCCUGAAUUAUUAUGAGGGAAUAAAUCAGGAAUGACAAAAUGCAACAGAUGCUCAUGUGAGGGUCCCCAACCCUGGAAUCACUGCCUGAUCUCCUGGUGACCAGCCGUGUCCUGAAGCUGUCCAGAAACCACCUACAACCAUUGUUUCAUUAGCACGCCAGGGACAUGGCACACAUUUCAGGAGCUACAGGCCAGGAACGAGGGACAAAGCGCAGAACCUCACUGCAUGGUCUCUGUGCCUGAGCGGGGUCCUGACAUCAGGCUUCCUUUCCACCUUUAUCAAGAACCAGUGCAAGCCAAGGAGCACAAGGAUGACUGGCAAAACUUACCAGAGGUUGGAAGAGGCAUGGAAGUACCCUCUCUAGGUCCAAGGGGAGUAUGGCUCUGUUGACACCUUGAUUUCAGGACCUCACCUCCAGAACAGUGGGUCAAUGAAUUUCUGUUUUAAAAUACACAGUUUGUAGUACUUUGUUACUCAGCCCUAGGCUAAUACACUGCCUGAGUCUGAACUAAAGAUGCCAUUUGUUUCUCCCAAUCCAUCUUGCUAACCACAUCCACAUUCAAAAGACUACCCCAAUAUGGAGAUGAAGAGAAAUCGUGGAGAAAUAGUGGUAUAGUUUGGAUCUGAAGCAUCCCCUGAAGGCCAAUAUUCUGAAGACUUGGUCCCCAGCAUGAUGUAUUUGGGAAGUGGUGGUGCUAAUGGGAGGCUUUUAGGUGGAGGCAUGCCCUGGGGGUAGAUUAUGAGAUCCCAGUCUCUUCUUCUUUCUCUUCCACUUUCCAGCCACGAGGUGAACAGUUUUCGCCCAUCACCUCCUUCUGCCUUGAUGUGCUAUGCCAAAGCAAUGGGCCAGCUGAUCAUGAACUGAACCCUCUAAAACUGAGGGGGAGGAUCUUGAUUUCAUUGGAGAAAGAGGGUGCAUCCUUCCAUGGAUGGCUCCAGAGGUUGGAAGAAACCAGGAGAGGAUCCAGGAGAAGCCAAACCUGGAGCAAGGAGUAUAGCAGCAAAGAGGGGAAGAAGAAGCCUCAUUGCCCAGGAGACCAGGACCCAUCUCUUACCCAACUCUGCCUCAAAUCCCAUAUUUCUCUCCCUGAACCCCGAUAAUGAUUCUCCAAUAAUUUAACCAGAGUAACCCCACCCUUUUGAGCUGGAAAUAAGGGUUCCCUAAGGCCCUUCUGGACUCUUCUGUUUUCAUUGACAAGGUGGGAAUAAAGUACAUGGCUUCAGCUUCUCA